AUUCAACUUGGUUGGUUGGUUACGGUCGUGGUCAGGAAGCUUCUUUUGUCCAAAUGGCUAGAUCCUGUGAUGAGCAGUCCCAACUCUUACGCAAAGUCUAGAAUUCAGCAUUUGAUUUCAUUUUCUUUUACUUCAAUUCUCUUAAAUGUUUUUUUGUAGAUAUUUUUCUUUACGAAAAGUUUUGUUGUUUUGGAUUUGAUAUG
Molecule: long non-coding RNA, 203 nt
Organism: Arabidopsis thaliana (thale cress)
Lineage: Eukaryota; Viridiplantae; Streptophyta; Magnoliopsida; Brassicales; Brassicaceae
Product: other RNA
Exons: 1
Source: RefSeq